CUUAGAUCGUACCGUCCUACUCGGAUAACUGUAGUAAUUCUAGAGCUAAUACGUGCCACGAAGCUCCGACCCCUGGUUCGCGCCUGGGGGAAGAGCGCAUUUAUUAGACCAAAACCAAUCGCCCGUCCGUCUCGGCGGCGGGCGUUUGCCCAUGGUGACUCUGGAUAAACUACGAGCCGAUCGCACGGCCCCUGCGCCGGCGACAGAUCUAUCAAAUGUCUGCCCUAUCAAGUUUCGACGGUUGUUUAGUCGACAACCGUGCUGAUAACGGGUGACGGGGAAUCAGGGUUCGAUUCCGGAGAGGGAGCAUGAGAAACGGCUACCACUUCCAAGGAAGGCAGCAGGCACGCAAAUUACCCACUCCCGGCUCGGGGAGGUAGUGACGAAAAAUAACAAUACGGGACUCUUACGAGGCCCCGUAAUUGGAAUGAGUACACUUUAAAUCCUUUAACGAGGACCCAUUGGAGGGCAAGUCUGGUGCCAGCAGCCGCGGUAAUUCCAGCUCCAAUAGCGUAUAUUAAAGUUGUUGCAGUUAAAAAGCUCGUAGUUGGAUGUGGGGAGCAGCCCGGCGGUCCGCUCGAAAGGCGGCCACUGCCGUUUGGUUUACUGCUCCUUGCUCUCUCCGGCUCGCGCGGGGUGCUCUUGACUGAGUGCCCCGAGCUGCCGGGACGUUUACUUUGAAAAAAUUAGAGUGUUCAAAGCAGGCCGUCGUCGCCUGAAUACUGGUGCAUGGAAUAAUGGAACAGGACCUCGCUUCUGGUUUUGUUGGUUUUACGAAGUCGAGGUAAUGAUUAAAAGGAACGGACGGGGGCAUUUGUAUUGCGCCGUUAGAGGUGAAAUUCUUGGAUCGGCGCAAGACAAACUAAAGCGAAGGCGUUUGCCAAGCACGUUUUCAUUAAUCAAGAGCGACAGUCAGAGGUUCGAAGACGAUCAGAUACCGUCGUAGUUCUGACCAUAAACGAUGCCAGCUAGGGACUCGCAGCGGUUGCUAACCCUGACCCUGCGAGGACCUCGUCGGAAACGAAAGCUUUCGGGUUCCGGGGGAAGUAUGGUUGCAAAGCUGAAACUUAAAGGAAUUGACGGAAGGGCACCACCAGGAGUGGAGCCUGCGGCUUAAUUUGACUCAACACGGGGAAACUCACCCGGCCCGGACACCGUAAGGAUUGACAGAUUGAGAGCUCUUUCUUGAUUCGGUGGGUGGUGGUGCAUGGCCGUUCUUAGUUGGUGGAGCGAUUUGUCUGGUUGAUUCCGAUAACGAACGAGACUCUAGCCUAUUGAAUAGUCAGCCUGCGAGUUUCUCGGCGGGCGCUUUUGACUUCUCAGAGGGACGAGCGGCGUUCAGUCGCACGAGAAUGAGCAAUAACAGGUCUGUGAUGCCCUUAGAUGUCCGGGGCCGCACGCGCGCUACACUGAAGGUAUCAGCGUGCGCUCACCCUCUCAGAAAUGAGCGGGCAACCCGUUGAACCACCUUCGUGCUAGGGAUUGGGGAUUGCAAUUGUUCCCCAUGAACGAGGAAUUCCCAGUAAGCGCGAGUCAUCAGCUCGCGUUGAUUACGUCCCUGCCCUUUGUACACACCGCCCGUCGCUACUACCGAUCGGAUGGUUUAGUGAGACCCUCGGACUGGUCCCGACGGGGCGGUUCUCCGUCCUGUCGCGGUCGCCGGGAAGACGGUCGAACUUGACUAUCUAGAGGAAGUA
RNAcentral lists this ribosomal RNA (1697 nucleotides) under Rhynchospio nhatrangi. RNAcentral's name for it is "SSU rRNA". It matches the Rfam family "Eukaryotic small subunit ribosomal RNA". The record is from RNAcentral. Lineage: Eukaryota; Metazoa; Annelida; Polychaeta; Spionida; Spionidae.